UUUGGUUAAGUUAGAAAGGGCGCACGGUGGAUGCCUUGACACUAGGAGUCGAUGAAGGACGGGACUAACGCCGAUAUGCUUCGGGGAGCUGUAAGUAAGCUUUGAUCCGAAGAUUUCCGAAUGGGGAAACCCACCAUACGUAAUGGUAUGGUAUCCUUAUCUGAAUACAUAGGGUAAGGAAGACAGACCCAGGGAACUGAAACAUCUAAGUACCUGGAGGAAGAGAAAGCAAAUGCGAUUUCCUGAGUAGCGGCGAGCGAAACGGAACAUAGCCCAAACCAAGAGGCUUGCCUCUUGGGGUUGUAGGACAUUCUAUACGGAGUUACAAAGGAACGAGGUAGACGAAGCGACCUGGAAAGGUCCGUCGUAGAGGGUAACAACCCCGUAGUCGAAACUUCGUUCUCUCUUGAAUGUAUCCUGAGUACGGCGGAACACGUGAAAUUCCGUCGGAAUCUGGGAGGACCAUCUCCCAAGGCUAAAUACUCCCUAGUGAUCGAUAGUGAACCAGUACCGUGAGGGAAAGGUGAAAAGCACCCCGGAAGGGGAGUGAAAGAGAUCCUGAAACCGUGUGCCUACAAAUAGUCAGAGCCCGUUAACGGGUGAUGGCGUGCCUUUUGUAGAAUGAACCGGCGAGUUACGAUCCCGUGCGAGGUUAAGCUGAAGAGGCGGAGCCGCAGCGAAAGCGAGUCUGAAUAGGGCGUUUAGUACGUGGUCGUAGACCCGAAACCAGGUGAUCUACCCAUGUCCAGGGUGAAGUUCAGGUAACACUGAAUGGAGGCCCGAACCCACGCACGUUGAAAAGUGCGGGGAUGAGGUGUGGGUAGCGGAGAAAUUCCAAUCGAACCUGGAGAUAGCUGGUUCUCCCCGAAAUAGCUUUAGGGCUAGCCUUAAGUGUAAGAGUCUUGGAGGUAGAGCACUGAUUGGACUAGGGGUCCUCAUCGGAUUACCGAAUUCAGUCAAACUCCGAAUGCCAAUGACUUAUCCUUAGGAGUCAGACUGCGAGUGAUAAGAUCCGUAGUCAAAAGGGAAACAGCCCAGACCGCCAGCUAAGGUCCCAAAGUGUGUAUUAAGUGGAAAAGGAUGUGGAGUUGCUUAGACAACUAGGAUGUUGGCUUAGAAGCAGCCACCAUUUAAAGAGUGCGUAAUAGCUCACUAGUCGAGUGACUCUGCGCCGAAAAUGUACCGGGGCUAAAUACACCACCGAAGCUGCGGAUUGAUACCAAUGGUAUCAGUGGUAGGGGAGCGUUCUAAGGACAGUGAAGUCAGACCGUAAGGACUGGUGGAGUGCUUAGAAGUGAGAAUGCCGGUAUGAGUAGCGAAAGACGGGUGAGAAUCCCGUCCACCGAAUGCCUAAGGUUUCCUGAGGAAGGCUCGUCCGCUCAGGGUUAGUCAGGACCUAAGCCGAGGCCGACAGGCGUAGGCGAUGGACAACAGGUUGAUAUUCCUGUACCACCUCUUUAUCGUUUGAGCAAUGGAGGGACGCAGAAGGAUAGAAGAAGCGUGCGAUUGGUUGUGCACGUCCAAGCAGUUAGGCUGAUAAGUAGGCAAAUCCGCUUAUCGUGAAGGCUGAGCUGUGAUGGGGAAGCUCCUUAUGGAGCGAAGUCUUUGAUUCCCCGCUGCCAAGAAAAGCUUCUAGCGAGAUAAAAGGUGCCUGUACCGCAAACCGACACAGGUAGGCGAGGAGAGAAUCCUAAGGUGUGCGAGAGAACUCUGGUUAAGGAACUCGGCAAAAUGACCCCGUAACUUCGGGAGAAGGGGUGCUUUCUUAACGGAAAGCCGCAGUGAAUAGGCCCAAGCGACUGUUUAGCAAAAACACAGCUCUCUGCGAAGCCGUAAGGCGAAGUAUAGGGGUGACACCUGCCCGGUGCUGGAAGGUUAAGGAGAGGGGUUAGCGUAAGCGAAGCUCUGAACUGAAGCCCCAGUAAACGGCGGCCGUAACUAUAACGGUCCUAAGGUAGCGAAAUUCCUUGUCGGGUAAGUUCCGACCCGCACGAAAGGUGUAACGAUUUGGGCACUGUCUCAACCAGAGACUCGGUGAAAUUAUAGUACCUGUGAAGAUGCAGGUUACCCGCGACAGGACGGAAAGACCCCGUGGAGCUUUACUGUAGCCUGAUAUUGAAUUUUGGUACAGUUUGUACAGGAUAGGCGGGAGCCUUUGAAACCGGAGCGCUAGCUUCGGUGGAGGCGCUGGUGGGAUACCGCCCUGACUGUAUUGAAAUUCUAACCUACGGGUCUUAUCGACCCGGGAGACAGUGUCAGGUGGGCAGUUUGACUGGGGCGGUCGCCUCCUAAAGUGUAACGGAGGCGCCCAAAGGUUCCCUCAGAAUGGUUGGAAAUCAUUCGUAGAGUGCAAAGGCAUAAGGGAGCUUGACUGCGAGACCUACAAGUCGAGCAGGGACGAAAGUCGGGCUUAGUGAUCCGGUGGUUCCGCAUGGAAGGGCCAUCGCUCAACGGAUAAAAGCUACCCCGGGGAUAACAGGCUUAUCUCCCCCAAGAGUCCACAUCGACGGGGAGGUUUGGCACCUCGAUGUCGGCUCAUCGCAUCCUGGGGCUGUAGUCGGUCCCAAGGGUUGGGCUGUUCGCCCAUUAAAGCGGUACGCGAGCUGGGUUCAGAACGUCGUGAGACAGUUCGGUCCCUAUCCGUCGUGGGCGUAGGAAAUUUGAGAGGAGCUGUCCUUAGUACGAGAGGACCGGGAUGGACGCACCGCUGGUGUACCAGUUGUUCUGCCAAGGGCAUAGCUGGGUAGCUAUGUGCGGAAGGGAUAAGUGCUGAAAGCAUCUAAGCAUGAAGCCCCCCUCAAGAUGAGAUUUCCCAUAGCGUAAGCUAGUAAGAUCCCUGAAAGAUGAUCAGGUUGAUAGGUUCGAGGUGGAAGCAUGGUGACAUGUGGAGCUGACGAAUACUAAUAGAUCGAGGACUUAACCAUAUAA
RNAcentral lists this ribosomal RNA (2928 nucleotides) under Bacillus tropicus. RNAcentral's name for it is "23S ribosomal RNA". It matches the Rfam family "Bacterial large subunit ribosomal RNA". The record is from RNAcentral. Lineage: Bacteria; Bacillati; Bacillota; Bacilli; Caryophanales; Bacillaceae.